Molecule: transfer RNA, 71 nt
Filed under: Mindarus keteleerifoliae
Lineage: Eukaryota; Metazoa; Arthropoda; Insecta; Hemiptera; Mindaridae
Description: tRNA-Pro
Source: RNAcentral
UCAGUAUAUAUUUUAAAUUAAAAUAUUAAUUUUGGAGAUUAAUGAUAUUAUGUAUAUAUAUUUAUACUGAU